AAAUGAAUUGACGGGGGCCCGCACAAGCGGUGGAGCAUGUGGCUCAAUUCGAGGCAACGCGAAGAACCUUACCUGGGCUUGACAUAUACCUGACGACCGGUUGAAAGAUCGGUCUUCCUUCGGGACGGGUAUACAGGUGCUGCAUGGCUGUCGUCAGCUCGUGUCGUGAGAUGUUCGGUUAAGUCCGGCAACGAGCGCAACCCGUGUCGUCAGUUGCCAGCAGGUAAUGCUGGGGACUCUGGCGAGACUGCCCGUGUCAAGCGGGAGGAAGGCGCGGAUGACGUCAAGUCAGUAUGGCCCUUACGCCCAGGGCUGCACACGUGCUACAAUGGGUGGUACAGAGGGACGCAAGACCGCGAGGUGGAGCAAAUCCCCAAAACCACCCCCAGUUCAGAUUGAAGUCUGCAACUCGACUUCAUGAAGUUGGAAUCGCUAGUAAAGGCGUAUCAGCAACGGCGCCUUGAAUACGUUCCCGGGCCUUGUACACACCGCCCGU
This 496-nucleotide ribosomal RNA is filed under the name uncultured bacterium. Its description in RNAcentral is "bacterial SSU rRNA". It matches the Rfam family "Bacterial small subunit ribosomal RNA", at positions 903 to 1397 of the family's 1533-position model. The record is from RNAcentral.